CACGGUCUCCACUUUUACAAGGCACCGACUCCUAGGUGCUAGUACUAAUCAUGGCGGAAGCUCCUUGAGAUGCCGUGUUUAAUACUAGCCCCUCGGGGAUCAAUUCAAAGUAUGUUCUUGCAUUUCAUAGUUUAUAAAGUAUUAACCACUUGCUUUCCCCAAUUACGAGUGUGCCAAAACAACCACUGACCAAAUAUGAUCACAUCCGUGUCCUGAAUGCUGCCAGAAUCAAAUUCUUGUGUCUGUCAGACAGAAGAAGAGUCUUGAGCACUCUCCCGGUUUUGGAUCCUACAACCCCCCGGCCCCCCUUUUCUUGUUUCCCGGCCCAGUGCCCGGUAGUGCUGUUAACAGUUCGGCCGAAGUGUUUGUAUACAAAAGUUUACUGCCUCCAUAUUCAUAUUACCUGAUCAAAAAUUAUUUAUAGGGCUGGUCACUUUGGUAUUUUUUGAAGUGAAAGACGAGUUUUACAGCCGUGACCUGUUUAGUCGUCGGCAUUGUUCUCUGUUCAUCAGCAUCGUAAGCGGUAACAUCGAUUGGUCUUGUCCAUCACCCAGCCUUAUAUCCUCUUGUAGGUGGUGAUCCAUAUAAUGAAUCAUCCAAAGAAGCCACAACAAGUGCUGAUCUUCACCUUGUAGAACAAAAGAAUCUUGUUGUGAUGCAGAUUAGAUUGCCUCUUAUCAAGAAAGAAAAAAAAAAUUCAAAACAGAAAUCAUGACAUGGUGCAAAGAAGUUGGUAUCAGAUGUAUUGUAAUGUUAGCUUCUUGCAGUGCAUAUGAAUGGAGGAAUUACAAUCAGUUAACUGGAUCCCAGCUUUGGUAUUUGACUACUACACCAGCGGAUAGUGAAGUAUUAAGAAAUAUAUGACCACUGAGAUGACUGACAAUGCCAGGACAACCAGCGACAAUACCACAGUCCCAUCUGUCCAAUUACCCUCAUUCAUGACCAUAACCCAGAAGCCUGGUUCUUUAGAAUGGAGACCAACUUCAGAUCCAAGGUCACAUCAUCACCACGCAAAGCUGAUGCCAUCCUCAAGUUCCUGCUGGACAGCAUCUACAUCCGCACAAAUCUCAGAGUGGCUAGCUGAGCCACUGCACUAAUCUCAGAGUGGCUACCUGAGCCACAAACCCCCAUCAUGUACAAUACAUUGAAGGUACAACUGAGGUCUUCCUUCAGCAUGUCCCCUGCCCUCAAAGCCCGAAAAUUCCUAGACAAAGUAGGACCAGCAAUAGGAGACCAAUGGCCGUCACACGUCUGCAAACAAGUACUGCUGUUAAUAAUGAUCCCCACCAUAGAUGGUCAACCAGAAAUGAUGCCAAACCUUGAGAGAGGUGUCCUCCUCAUGUGGUUGCCAUGCCAAACAGUCACUGUGAUACCCAUACACCUCGACAAAUUCCUGAGAAUGAUAAAUGCAGUUCAUAUGGCCCAGAGAUUGUCAGAACCCACUCAACCACCUGUAGCACCAGCCACACCACAACCACUUCAUCAGAGCAACACAGAAUCGAACAGCAAACCAGAGGGCCCUGCCACUCCCAUAUACCACUUUCAAAACUACAGGAAGGAGAACAAACACAGGACCAAAAAGAAUAAUGUCUGAAAGGGCCAAUGUUCUUCAACUGGAGAUUCCGGAGCAAGCCCAAAUACUAUGAGAACGGCUGCCCUCUAUAAAAUAACAUGCAUUAGGGGCUGCAGCUUUUUGGGCGACAAUGGUUGCAUGCUAUAAAAAACAUGCAAUAGGGUCACAGUAGUGACUUGAGCAAUUAACUGUGAGCGAUGGGCAGACUGGUUGUCUUGUAAAAGAAAAUGGGUUUACCUUUCACUGCUUUUCUUCUAAAUGCAAGUGAAAACACUUCACGUGUUUAUAUGUCAAGAGAUGAUAUGUCCAACGCACAGUUCCUCAUUAGCAUGGCCGCAUGUAAGUUAUUCAUUCCAGCCAACCUGCAUAAACGCCUCAACCCCACCCCUAGGUGUCUACUGCCAGUGGUGCCACACUUAAAAUAUAUGGAAAAAACUGAAAUUAUAUUCAACUGCAAUCCAUACAGUUGGACAUUCAUCACAGCAGACAUCACAAUUGCACUACUAGGAGCAGAUUUCCUAAAAGCCCAUGAGAUGAUGGUAGACAGCAAGACACCAGCUGAUUCAGAGAAAUGUCCUUACAGCACCCAUCACUCCCAGAACAAUAGCAGCAAAGUAUUCAAAGAUGUCCUCAAGCACAACCUAGCAAGCUCCGCAAAAUACCACAUCGUCACUGAGGGGGCACCCUCAAAUCCAUGCAUGCUUCAGACUUUUGGCCCCAGACAUUUUAGCCUAUGCUAGAAUUCCAUGACAUGGAACAGGCAGGAAUCUGCCAGAAAGCCUCCAACCCAUGGGCAACAUUCUAAGGAAGAGGGCACUGUCCUCACUAAUCUUCCCAAGGUGGAGCAACCGAUUUUCUCUUAUAUCUCCUCUUCAUACCAAAUUCUUCCAUUGCUCUGGAGACCAAUUACAACACUUGGAACAGGGAUUACUUGAUUGAUACUGCUGAAUAUCACGAGAAGCUUGAUGCUAUUUUGUCCAAUGAGAGCAAGUACAAGCUCUUGACAAGAAACCCGACAAACAUCAAGAGGGAGGCCAACAGUCAUCAGUGCAGUGAACGCUGCGACAAACGCUGUCCACCUCCCGCACAUACAAGGAGACUACAGCCUGGGUUAUUUAUAUAGCAACAUAAAAACCCACAAACAAGGAAACUCCCUCCAGCCCUUAUGUCCCUGCAGUCAUCAGUAGAAUUCUUAGAGGCCAUCAAGGACACCCAUGGCACCGGGAUUAUCGCCUCACUGAACGUGGAGACCAUGUUCAUGAAUGUGCCUGUCGAUGAGACCAUCGAUAACUUCCUUGAGUGCGUCUACAGGAGUCAGCCGACAGCGCCCCUCAAUAUACCUAAAGCCUCACUCCAUAUGCUACUGGAGAUUUGUACCAAGAAGGCCCCUUUCUCCACCCACCAUGGCCAGAUGUUCCGCCAGAGGAUGGCGUGGUGAUGGGCUACUGGGUCAUCUUUGCUAACUUUUACAUAGGCACUGUAGAGGAACAAGUCUUCGCCAGAAUGCAGCAAAUCCGCAGAUAUGGCUGUUAUAUCGAUGAUAUCUUUGUUCAAGUAGACACUGAGGAUGAGGUUGAAGCCCUUUGUAAGGCAUUUCAGCAGUAUAGCAUACUAAAUUACAUAGUUGAAUACAGCACCAACGAUCAGCUCCACUUCCUCGACGUCCCUUGAGAGUAAGGUGGAAGACGGCCUCCAUACUUCUGUCUAUGCAAGAACAACUAAUCUUGGACUUUGUGCCUAAACGGUGACAGCGAGUGCCCCGCCAGAUUCAAAAGCACAACUAUUAGGGCCUUCAUCGAGAGAGCCCUCUCCCACUGCUCGACCCGGCAGGACACUCGUCAGGAACUUGACCAUGCCUCCCAAGUAUUCGUGAAUAACAGGUAUUCCAAUAAAUUAAUCGGUAGAGAAGUCCGCACGGCACUGGAGAAAUGGUAUGGUAGUGAGAGCCUGCAGCCCCGCCCCCAGGAUAAUAUCAAGCUGUAUUACGAAGCCCUCAUGAGUUCCCAUUACCGUUAAGAAGUGGACUCUGUUAAGAAGAUUAUUACUGAAAAUGUAACCCUGAUUGACAACACCAAGAAAAUUUACUUACCAGAAUCGGAAGAUGCUUGACCUAAUAAUGAAAAAUAACUCAAGUACAUAUGCCCAAUCUGCGGUUGCAGCGGCAACUACGUAGGUAUGACUAGCAUGCGCCUGUCUAAGACUCAUGCCAUGCCAAGAGGGGGCAACGCCCAGCAACGUCACCACACAGCUCAGGUGGUCUAGGAGGUUGCAGCUACACAGCUAUCAACACGGCGGAAGUGGCUUCAGGCCUGACUCAAGCAACCAAUGAAAAAGCAGACUUACUGCCACCAGCAAACGAGAUCAGCAUAGAGCAGAUCCCCGGCUGACGAACCCAAAUAUAAGGAGGAAGGACACCACACCAGCAGCAGUCCACCCUCUGCUUCCUAGAGAGAGGA
Long non-coding RNA from Macrobrachium nipponense, 4029 nucleotides. RefSeq lists it as uncharacterized. The transcript is spliced from 4 exons. Lineage: Eukaryota; Metazoa; Arthropoda; Malacostraca; Decapoda; Palaemonidae. The record is from RefSeq and is a predicted model, not a curated record.